GAUGAACGCUGGCGGCGUGCCUAAUACAUGCAAGUCGAGCGAACAGACGAGGAGCUUGCUCCUCUGACGUUAGCGGCGGACGGGUGAGUAACACGUGGAUAACCUACCUAUAAGACUGGGAUAACUUCGGGAAACCGGCGCUAAUACCGGAUAAUAUAUUGAACCGCAUGGUUCAAUAGUGAAAGACGGUUUUGCUGUCACUUAUAGAUGGAUCCGCGCUGCAUUAGCUAGUUGGUAAGGUAACGGCUUACCAAGGCAACGAUGCGUAGCCGACCUGAGAGGGUGAUCGGCCACACUGGAGCUGAGACACGGUCCAGACUCCUACGGGAGGCAGCAGUAGGGAAUCUUCCGCAAAGGGCGAAAGCUUGACGGAGCAACGCCGCGUGAGUGAUGAAGGUCUUCGGAUCGUAAAACUCUGUUAUUAGGGAAGAACAAAUGUGUAAGUAACUAUGCACGUCUUGACGGUACCUAAUCAGAAAGCCACGGCUAACUACGUG
This 497-nucleotide ribosomal RNA is filed under the name uncultured bacterium. Its description in RNAcentral is "partial 16S ribosomal RNA". It matches the Rfam family "Bacterial small subunit ribosomal RNA", at positions 28 to 507 of the family's 1533-position model. The record is from RNAcentral.